UGGCUCAGUUGGUAUAGAGCAUGGUGUUUGCAACGCCAGGGUUGUGGGUUCGAUUCCCAC
Molecule: transfer RNA, 60 nt
Filed under: Salmo salar (Atlantic salmon)
Lineage: Eukaryota; Metazoa; Chordata; Actinopteri; Salmoniformes; Salmonidae
Rfam family: tRNA
About the family: Transfer RNA (tRNA) molecules are approximately 80 nucleotides in length. Their secondary structure includes four short double-helical elements and three loops (D, anti-codon, and T loops).
Source: Rfam by way of RNAcentral